UACAGAGGGUGCGAGCGUUGUCCGGAAUCACUGGGCGUAAAGGGUGCGUAGGCGGCCUGACAAGUCUGAUGUGAAAUCCCUGGGCUCAACCCAGGGCCUGCAUCGGAAACUGUCGGGCUUGAGUAUGGGAGAGGUGAGUGGAAUUCCGGUGUAGCGGUGAAAUGCGUAGAUAUCGGAAGGAACGCCUGUGGCGAAAGCGGCUCAC
This 205-nucleotide ribosomal RNA is filed under the name uncultured bacterium. RNAcentral's name for it is "partial 16S ribosomal RNA". It matches the Rfam family "Bacterial small subunit ribosomal RNA", at positions 524 to 729 of the family's 1533-position model. The record is from RNAcentral.